AAUAUGAGGGAUAUGAUUUGUUUAUGGAAUGAUUGGUCUGUCAAAAAACAAAAUGAGGGGUUAUCCUAGUCCUAAACGAUUGAUACUAGGCACUGUGCAUAUCGACCUGUGCAGUACUAUAGCUGACGCGUUAAGUAUCCCACCUGGGGAGUACGUUCGGAAGAAUGUAACUCAAAGGAAUUGAUGGGGCCCACACAAGCAAUGGAGCAUGUAGUUUAAUUCAAUGCAUAGUGAAAAAUCUCACCCGGGUUUGAAAUGCCACAAAUCCUCUCAAAAGAGAGGGUAGCUCGGGGGAACGUGGACAUAGGUGGUGCAUGGUUGUCAUCAACUCAUGUCGUAAGGUGUUGGGUUAAGUACCGCAAAGAAGUACAACCCUCGUGUUUAGUUGCCAUCGUUAAAUUUGGAACCUUGAACAAAAUGUUGGUGAUAAACCAAAGGAAUGUGGGGAUGAUAUUAAGUCAUCAUGCCCUGGACGAUACACGUGCUACAAUGGUCGGGACAAAGUCACGAAGCUUUUCCAUCAAUAGUAACAUAAGUUCUGCUACAGUGAUAUUACUUGGAAUUAAGAGUGAAAUUCUUUUGUUCUCUUGCCACUUUCACUCGUCAUCUAUACGCAUGAAAUCUUUC
This 627-nucleotide ribosomal RNA is filed under the name Olea europaea subsp. europaea. RNAcentral describes it as "Bacterial small subunit ribosomal RNA". It matches the Rfam family "Bacterial small subunit ribosomal RNA", at positions 755 to 1281 of the family's 1533-position model. The record is from Rfam by way of RNAcentral. Lineage: Eukaryota; Viridiplantae; Streptophyta; Magnoliopsida; Lamiales; Oleaceae.